This 146-nucleotide non-coding RNA is filed under the name Pan troglodytes (chimpanzee). The record is from Rfam by way of RNAcentral. Lineage: Eukaryota; Metazoa; Chordata; Mammalia; Primates; Hominidae.
GCUGGGCGUGGUGGCGUGCGCCUGUAGUCCCAGGUACUCGGGAGGCUGAGGCAGGGGAAUUGCUUGAACCCAGGAGGCGGAGGUUGCAGUGAGCUGAGAUUGUGCCACUGCACUCUAGCCUGGGUAACAGAGCAAGACUGUCUCAA